UGGGGAAUAUUGCACAAUGGGCGCAAGCCUGAUGCAGCCAUGCCGCGUGUGUGAAGAAGGCCUUCGGGUUGUAAAGCACUUUCAGCGAGGAGGAAGGGUAGUGUGUUAAUAGCACAUUGCAUUGACGUUACUCGCAGAAGAAGCACCGGCUAACUCCGUGCCAGCAGCCGCGGUAAUACGGAGGGUGCAAGCGUUAAUCGGAAUUACUGGGCGUAAAGCGCACGCAGGCGGUUUGUUAAGUCAGAUGUGAAAUCCCCGCGCUUAGCGUGGGAACUGCAUUUGAAACUGGCAAGCUAGAGUCUUGUAGAGGGGGGUAGAAUUCCAGGUGUAGCGGUGAAAUGCGUAGAGAUCUGGAGGAAUACCGGUGGCGAAGGCGGCCCCCUGGACAAAGACUGACGCUCAGGUGCGAAAGCGUGGGGA
This 420-nucleotide ribosomal RNA is filed under the name uncultured bacterium. RNAcentral's name for it is "partial 16S ribosomal RNA". It matches the Rfam family "Bacterial small subunit ribosomal RNA", at positions 355 to 767 of the family's 1533-position model. The record is from RNAcentral.